Molecule: ribosomal RNA, 191 nt
Filed under: uncultured bacterium
Lineage: Bacteria
Description: partial 16S ribosomal RNA
Rfam family: Bacterial small subunit ribosomal RNA
Source: RNAcentral
UACGGGAGGCAGCAGUGGGGAAUAUUGCACAAUGGGCGCAAGCCUGAUGCAGCCAUGCCGCGUGUAUGAAGAAGGCCUUCGGGUUGUAAAGUACUUUCAGCGAGGAGGAAGGCGACAAGGUUAAUAACCUUGUCGAUUGACGUUACUCGCAGAAGAAGCACCGGCUAACUCCGUGCCAGCAGCCGCGGUAA